UUUAAGCCGGUGAAGAGUGGUGCUCAGCGAGCACGGGUGCUGGGCACCUGCGUGGCGAGUGGCGAACGGGUGAGUAAUACAUCGGAACAUGUCCUGUAGUGGGGGAUAGCCCGGCGAAAGCCGGAUUAAUACCGCAUACGAUCUACGGAUGAAAGCGGGGGACCUUCGGGCCUCGCGCUAUAGGGUUGGCCGAUGGCUGAUUAGCUAGUUGGUGGGGUAAAGGCCUACCAAGGCGACGAUCAGUAGCUGGUCUGAGAGGACGACCAGCCACACUGGGACUGAGACACGGCCCAGACUCCUACGGGAGGCAGCAGUGGGGAAUUUUGGACAAUGGGCGAAAGCCUGAUCCAGCAAUGCCGCGUGUGUGAAGAAGGCCUUCGGGUUGUAAAGCACUUUUGUCCGGAAAGAAAUCCUUGGCUCUAAUACAGUCGGGGGAUGACGGUACCGGAAGAAUAAGCACCGGCUAACUACGUGCCAGCAGCCGCGGUAAUACGUAGGGUGCAAGCGUUAAUCGGAAUUACUGGGCGUAAAGCGUGCGCAGGCGGUUUGCUAAGACCGAUGUGAAAUCCCCGGGCUCAACCUGGGAACUGCAUUGGUGACUGGCAGGCUAGAGUAUGGCAGAGGGGGGUAGAAUUCCACGUGUAGCAGUGAAAUGCGUAGAGAUGUGGAGGAAUACCGAUGGCGAAAGCAGCCCCCUGGGCCAAUACUGACGCUCAUGCACGAAAGCGUGGGGAGCAAACAGGAUUAGAUACCCUGGUAGUCCACGCCCUAAACGAUGUCAACUAGUUGUUGGGGAUUCAUUUCCUUAGUAACGUAGCUACGCGUGAAGUUGACCGCCUGGGGAGUACGGUCGCAAGAUUAAAACUCAAAGGAAUUGACGGGGACCCGCACAAGCGGUGGAUGAUGUGGAUUAAUUCGAUGCAACGCGAAAACCUUACCUACCCUUGACAUGGUCGGAAUCCUGCUGAGAAGGUGGGGAGUGCUCGAAAGAAGACCGGCGCACAGGUGCUGCAUGGCUGUCGUCAUCUUCGUGUCGUGAGAAUGUCUGGGUUAAAUCCCGCCAACGAAGCGCAAGCCCUUGUUCCUUAAUUUGCUACGCCACGAGCACCUCCUACGAAACAGUCCCGGUGACAAAACCAGAAGGAAGUGGGGAUGACCUCAAGUCUCUCCUGGGCGCCUUUAUGGUUGGGGGUUUAAGUU
This 1200-nucleotide ribosomal RNA is filed under the name Burkholderia sp. BBK_9. Its description in RNAcentral is "bacterial SSU rRNA". It matches the Rfam family "Bacterial small subunit ribosomal RNA", at positions 56 to 1224 of the family's 1533-position model. The record is from RNAcentral. Lineage: Bacteria; Pseudomonadati; Pseudomonadota; Betaproteobacteria; Burkholderiales; Burkholderiaceae.